AAGUCGUAACAAGGUUUCCGUAGGUGAACCUGCGGAAGGAUCAUUAGUGAGUGGGGAGAGGAGUGAGGGAUGGAUUGAGAUGGCUUAUUAAAGAUGAUUUAUAACGUAGUCACACCAUUAUUACUAUCAUACUACAAACAACAACAACAAUAAUCAACAAACACAGCUCUCAGCCACGGAUAUCUAGGUUCUC
RNAcentral lists this unclassified non-coding RNA (193 nucleotides) under fungal sp. RNAcentral describes it as "partial internal transcribed spacer region". The stretch from base 1 to 46 matches the Rfam family "Eukaryotic small subunit ribosomal RNA", at positions 1786 to 1831 of the family's 1831-position model. The record is from RNAcentral. Lineage: Eukaryota; Fungi.